This is a long non-coding RNA of Clarias gariepinus (North African catfish), 378 nucleotides long. RefSeq lists it as uncharacterized. The record is from RefSeq and is a predicted model, not a curated record. NCBI's taxonomy places the organism in Eukaryota, Metazoa, Chordata, Actinopteri, Siluriformes, Clariidae. The transcript is spliced from 3 exons.
UUUUUAAGUGGCCGAUUUUUCAUGACAAGCCUUUUCUAUCACUGUCUGCGUGACUUUGAGAGCUUCUCGUCAUGGAGAGAAUGAAAUGGGCACGGGCUGUCUGGAUGGAGAAUUCCCGUGAAGAAGAGGGUGUUGUUCCACUAAACUGGAUCAAAGACAAAAAUGUGUUUUGGCCAGCAGUCACCAAUGCUAGUGUUUUACACAAGAAGUGCGCCGAGCCCGAUGUAGAAAAAUGGACAAAAUUUAAGCUUAUAAAGAUAAAACAUUCAUCUGCCAAUAUGGAAGAGUGUGAAGACAAUAAUCUAACCACAGCUAUUGAGAAUCGCGAUAAAGAGGUUCCUAAGAAGCGCCAGGCUAAGCGAAAACACAAAAAUGAUU